Homo sapiens (human) is the source of this 208-nucleotide long non-coding RNA. RefSeq annotates it as HDAC9 antisense RNA 1. The transcript is spliced from 3 exons. NCBI's taxonomy places the organism in Eukaryota, Metazoa, Chordata, Mammalia, Primates, Hominidae. The record is from RefSeq and is a predicted model, not a curated record.
CUUUUCCUCUGCCACUUUACAGGGUUCCUGAAAGGGUAGAAGAAAAUACAGUAGGGCAGGGCUCAAGACCUUACAGUGGAAGAGUUAUGCUCUCCAUAAACAAUAUGACCUUCCAGGAGAGAAGAAAGAAUAGCGGAAGCCAUGUACUUGCUUGAGAAUAUAACAAAGAGACAUACUGGUUUGCAGGAAUUUUGAGUCAAAGAGUAAG